CCUACGGGAGGCUGCAGUGAGGAAUAUUGGGCAAUGGACGAGAGUCUGAACCAGCAAAGUAGCGUGAAGGAUGACUGCCCUAUGGGUUGUAAACUUCUUUUAUAUGGGAGUAAAACAGGGUAUGCAUACCCUCUUGUAUGUACCAUAUUAAUAAGGAUCGGCUAACUCCGUGCCAGCAGCCGCGGUAAUACGGAGGAUGCGAGCGUUGUCCGGAUUUAUUGGGUUGAAAGGGAGCGUAGGCGGGUUGUUAAGUCAGGUGUGAAAGUAUGGAGUUUAACCGUAAAAUUGCAGUUGAUACUGGCAUCCUUGAGUACAGUAGAGGUAGGCGGAAUUCGUGGUGUAGCGGUGAAAUGCUUAGAUAUCACGAAGAACUCCGAUUGCGAAGGCAGCCUGCUGGACUGCAACUGACGCUGAUGCUCGAAAGUGUGGGUAUCAAACAGGAUUAGAUACCCGAGUAGUC
This 460-nucleotide ribosomal RNA is filed under the name uncultured bacterium. Its description in RNAcentral is "partial 16S ribosomal RNA". It matches the Rfam family "Bacterial small subunit ribosomal RNA", at positions 338 to 795 of the family's 1533-position model. The record is from RNAcentral.